CGGGGGCUUUUAUCGCCUGCAGAACACUCUGGGCUCCAGGUGGGAUCGGCAGCCCGCGGGAAGGGGAGUCUGAGCGUGCCGGGACCCUCCUGGGUCGGCCCCCUCCCCACCCCGCUGCCCUGGAAAAACUGAAAAACAAGCCUUAGUGUUCUAUGGGCCCACCGGCCGGGGUUUUAAACCUCUGGAGUAAGGUUUAAAAACGGAACCUCCAAAGCGGGGAUUCCCAGCAGUGUUUGUCAUCUCCAAGGAUGUGAAACAAAAGCUGGGUCUGAAAAAUACCAAGGGCGUGGGGGGGGGGGAGUGAGUGUGUAUAUACUCAGGAGUAUGUGAGUGUGAGUGUAAAUGUGUGUGUGUGUGUGUAAAUGUGUAUACUCAGGAGUAUGUGAGUGUGUAAAUUGUGUGAGUGUGUACUCAGGAGUAUGUGAGUGUGUAAAUGUAUGUGUGUGUACUCAGGAGUGUGAGUGUGUGCUUGGGAGUAUGUGUGUGUAAAUAUGUGUGUGCACUCAGGAGUGUGUGAGUGUGUAAAUGUGUGGGUGUGUACUCAGGAGUAUGUGAGUGUGUAAAUUGUGUGAGUGUGUACUCAGGAGUAUGUGAGUGUGUAAAUGUAUGUGUGUGUACUCAGGAGUGUGUGUGUGUGCUCGGGAGUAUGUGUGUGUAAAUAUGUGUGUGCACUCAGGAGUGUGUGAGUGUGUAAAUGUGUGGGUGUACUCAGGAGUAUGUGAGUGUGUAAAUUGUGUGAGUGUGUACUCAGGAGUAUGUGAGUGUGUAAAUGUAUGUGUGUGUACUCAGGAGAGUGUGUGUGUGUGCUCGGGAGUAUGUGUGUGUAAACAUGUGUGUGUACUCAGGAGUAUGUGAGUGUGUAAAUGCGUGGGUGUGUGUACUCAGGAGUAUGUGAGUGUGUAAAUUGUGUGAGUGUGUACUCAGGAGUAUGUGAGUGUGUAAAUGUAUGUGUGUGUACUCAGGAGAGUGUGUGUGUGUGCUCGGGAGUAUGUGUGUGUAAAUAUGUGUGUGUACUCAGGAGUGUGUGAGUGUGUGUACUCAGGAGUAUGUGAGCGUGUAAAUGUAUGUGUGUGUACUCAGGAGUAUGUGAGUGUGUGCUCGGGAGUAUGUGUGUGUAAAUAUGUGUGUACUCAGGAGUGUGUGUGUGUGCUCGGGAGUAUGUGUGUGUAAAUGUGUGGGUGUACUCAGGAGUAUGUGAGUGUGUAAAUGUGUGAGUGUGUGUACUCAGGAGUAUGUGAGUGUGUAAAGGUGUGUGCUCAGGAGUAUGUGUGUGUAAAUAUGUGUGUGAGUGUGUAAAUGUGUGAGUGUACUCAGGAGCAUGUGAGUGUGUAAAUGUGUGAGUGUGUGUACUCAGGAGUGUGUAAAGGUGUGAGUGUGUGUACUCAGGAGUAUGUGAGUGUGUAAAUGUGUGUGCGAGUGUGUGUAUACUCAGGAGUGUGAAUGUGCAAAUGUGUGUGUAUACUCAGGAGUGUAUAAAUGUGUGUGUGUGAGUGUGUGUCUACUCAGGAGUAUGUGAGUGUGUAAAGGUGUGUAUUUGGAGUAUGUGUGUGUAAAUAUGUGUGUGUGUGUGUGUGUGUGAGUCUGGGUCUACUCAGGAGUGUGUGAGUGUGGAGUAUGAGCACAUGGGCGGCCGUGUACGUGUGUCAUUGUGAGUGCAGAUGGGUGGCAGGGAGACAGUGACCCAUGGAAAGAAAACAGCCCAAAGGCGGCUUGGGGAGGGCGCUAGCUGAGCGCAGAGAAGGGACCCACUGUAGAAGGGAGAGGGGGGCCCCGGGCAUCAGCGGCCGAGAUACUGCUGAGGAGCAGGAGGAGGCCCCCCCAAGGGCAGGUCCUCGGGACCCGCGGCUCUGGAGACUCGACUUUCCUCCGCUGCGUGUUUCUGCCAUCGUUCCUCAUUUCCAGUGAACCUAACUCUGUGCUGGCCCUUCCCCCAGUGGGAGUGCUUUGUACAUAUUGGGGAGCACGGCCCCCCGGUUUCAGGACAUUACUCGCCGGGAGGUGGGGGGUGCUAUCGCCUUAAUCUGACAGCCGUGGAGACCGAGGCACUCGGGGUGAAGCCAUGUGCCCGGAGUCACGCAGCCAGAGAGCGUCCGAGGUCCAGCCCUGAGACGGCGGCGGCUGCCCAGGUUGUGGGUCAGCCAGAGUCCCAGACAGGAGGAGGAGGAGGAGGCCCCUUUGUCCUCAGGAAGGGAAUGCUGGGCUUUACUCUGGCCGUAGCCGCUACUUGCCAGUCCCGUGCGGGCAGCCCCCACCCCCGACCCCUUUGGCCCAUGAGCUCCUGGGGACAGAGGCUGCUUUUGCCUUUUUUAUCUCCCCAGUAACCAGCACAGCACCUGGUACACAGUAGGCGCUUGAUAAAUGCUUGCUGGCCCCCAAAAGAAGGUGAUGGUGACUAGGAGGGGACCAGAGACCAGGCCCUUCUAGGAGGAAGCAAAGGAGCUGGGGCCAUUUGGCCAGGAGGAGAGAAGGCCCCGGAGGGCGGCACGGUGAGCCCGCCGUCAGUGCCCCGUGGGUCCGUCAGUCAGAGUGGGGCGGGCGGCUGAGCUGGAGCGGUGUCCCUUCUGGCUCACAAGGAGCGGGCCAGGCCUCCGGACGAUGACCCCCCACUUUUCAGAGAGCAGAGCUGACCUGGGGGCUCCGGGGCCGGAGCAGCAGGUGUCCCCUGGGGGCGCCCACGAGGUGACAGGGAGCUCUGGUGGGAGGGCCAGGGCUCCCGUGGGGCCGGGACCCUCACUCACCCAGUGCUGAGAAUGGUCUACUCCUGGGAGCGGUCCCUGGGGGGGAGGGGGGAAACGGGAUGUCCUCUGGCAAAGGUCAGUGGUGAGGGGGACAGUGUCCUGUGACAAAGGUCAAUGUCUGGGGGAAAGUGUCCUCUGGCGGAGGUCAGUGUUGGGCGGGGGUGGGGGGACAAUGUCCUGUGACAAAAGCCGAUGGUGAGGAGGAGGGAGUACAACUUCCUCGGGCAAAGGUCAGUGGUGAGGGGGACAGUGUGCUCCGGCCAUGGUCAGUGGCGAGGGGGCACGGCCGUAGCUCCCACUUCCAGACGGUCUGCAGGAGACCAGUUUCUAGCCAGAGACCAGUACGGUGGCUGCUGGGUGCGGUCUCUGGGGGUCUCGUUCCCUCUCUGACAGCCUCCCACGACCCCCUAGAGGGAGGCCAAGGGGUCAAGCCCAGGACCACAACGCCCUCCCCAAGCCC
This is a long non-coding RNA of Antechinus flavipes (yellow-footed antechinus), 3198 nucleotides long. RefSeq lists it as uncharacterized. The record is from RefSeq and is a predicted model, not a curated record. NCBI's taxonomy places the organism in Eukaryota, Metazoa, Chordata, Mammalia, Dasyuromorphia, Dasyuridae. The transcript has 3 exons.